GAUGAACGCUAGCUACAGGCUUAACACAUGCAAGUCGAGGGGAAACGACAUCGAAAGCUUGCUUUUGAUGGGCGUCGACCGGCGCACGGGUGAGUAACGCGUAUCCAACCUGCCCAUCACUUGGGGAUAACCUUGCGAAAGUAAGACUAAUACCCAAUGAUAUCUCUAGAAGACAUCUGAAAGAGAUUAAAGAUUUAUCGGUGAUGGAUGGGGAUGCGUCUGAUUAGCUUGUUGGCGGGGUAACGGCCCACCAAGGCAACGAUCAGUAGGGGUUCUGAGAGGAAGGUCCCCCACAUUGGAACUGAGACACAGUCCAAACUCCGACGGGAGGCAGCAGUGAGGAAUAUUGGUCGAUGGGCGAGAGCCUGAACCAGCCAAGUAGCGUGCAGGAAGACGGCCGUAUGGAUUGUAAACUGCUUUUAUAAAGGAAUAAAGUGAGAGUCGUGACUCGUUUUGUAUGUACCUAAUGAAUAAGGACCGGCUAAUUCCGUG
This 492-nucleotide ribosomal RNA is filed under the name uncultured bacterium. Its description in RNAcentral is "partial 16S ribosomal RNA". It matches the Rfam family "Bacterial small subunit ribosomal RNA", at positions 28 to 507 of the family's 1533-position model. The record is from RNAcentral.